This 298-nucleotide long non-coding RNA is filed under the name Homo sapiens (human). RNAcentral's name for it is "non-protein coding lnc-GADD45G-1:1". Lineage: Eukaryota; Metazoa; Chordata; Mammalia; Primates; Hominidae. The record is from RNAcentral.
UGACAGGAAAUUGCUGGGAAGUCUCUUGAGAGCAGUGACCAUUUCCCAUUCCCGAUAACCGCAUGUGGGGGUCCUACACCAACCCACCACAACCUCACCGAUGCCGAGCGCUGUUGCGCAUUCACACUCCGGUCACUCUCGUGGGUGUGCCGUGGCACCUUCAUGUGGUUUGAAUCUGCACGUUCCUGUAGGUGAACCGUGCUGAGCCUUUCUUCAUGUGCUUAUUGGCCAAGGGUGUUCAUUCCUUUGUGAAGAAUGUGUUCAAAUCUUUUGCUCAUUAAAAAAAAUUCGUUGUUGG